AAUCCUCCUCCAAUGGACUGCUUUGUUGCCGAGGUCGUGAAGGGGACAAGGUCUACUACAUAUGUAAUCCUUUUACUAAGCAGUGGAAGGAACUACCAAAAUCAAAUGCUUAUCAUGGAUCAGAUCCAGCAAUUGUGCUCUUAUUUGAACCAUCAUUGCUCAACUUUGUAGCAGAGUACAAAAUUAUAUGUGCUUUUCCAUCGACAGAUUUUGACAAGGCAACUGAAUUUGAUAUAUAUUACUCAAGAGAGGGUUGU
This 257-nucleotide unclassified non-coding RNA is filed under the name Hevea brasiliensis (rubber tree). The record is from RNAcentral. Lineage: Eukaryota; Viridiplantae; Streptophyta; Magnoliopsida; Malpighiales; Euphorbiaceae.